Molecule: non-coding RNA, 27 nt
Filed under: Homo sapiens (human)
Lineage: Eukaryota; Metazoa; Chordata; Mammalia; Primates; Hominidae
Source: RNAcentral
UAAGAGUUAAUAAAAUGGGCCAGGAGU